AUGCUCAAAAGAGCAUCAGAGAUGUGCGAGGAGAUUGUUGAGUUCUGCAAUGAGUACGAGGCAGCCGUCGUGGAUGCCGUUGCCGCGCUGCCGACCCGCUCGCCGUCGCCGACUUCCAACCCAGGCCUGGCGCGGGGACGCUACCACAGGACGUCCGACGCCUUCAAGCUGUUCGACAAAAUGCCGAAUCCGUACGACAAUCGGCCAAGUGCCCGUUGUCCGCUACUACCGGUGAGCUGUUGUACCGAGCGCGCCCAUGGAUCACGGUGCUUGCUCGAGAAAAGGGGCGCGUCUGCAAGGCGAGCUGGUGAUCCACGAUCAGCUAGCCACCUACCACCCUUCCACGCCGCCACCGCCCAGAUCUCCGUCCUAGAAACCCGCCGCCAGAAGCAAGUGCGUGAUCACCUCAUCGCCACCAUGGAUCCCGCGCUCAAAGCUUACCUCGACAAGAUGAGCGACGAGGCCACCGCCCGCGCCAACAAGCAAGACGGCGACAACAAUGCCAUCCUCCAGGCCUUGGCGACGCAGACGGCGCGGAUUGACUCCCUCGUCACCUGGAAGCCGGAGUUGGAGGCGCGGUUCACGCAAUUGGAGCUCUCGGUCGCGGCUCUCCAAGCCGCAUCAUCUUCAACUGCACCAUCCAUCGGAUCGCCGCCACUUGCGACCCCUCCCAUGGUUGCGCGCGAGAUCCAAGGGCAAUCAGGUCACGACGCGCCACUGCAUCCUGGGGGAUCCUCGUCGGUGAUCCCCGAGUCACCAGCGACUUCCCCGGUCACAGACGGCCAACGUUCAAGGCUCACCUUGCUUGGUCAGAUGAAGAUGGAAGAUGAGAUCCCAGGGGAAACCCCUAGCCCGGGUACUCCUGGUGCGGAUGAUGGCGGCGCAGCUGGCAUCGCGACCCUUCUUGAAGGCAUCAUCUUGGGGUCUGCUUGGGUGACGUGUGGUGGUGCUUGCUGCGGGAUGGUGGUGGUGGUGGUGCGGCCGGAUGGGCCGAUGGUGGGCGAGACGGGCAGUGAAACAGCUGCCAUGGCAGCGAAAGGCAAAGGUUAUGAUCAGAAUGGCCUCCCCUACUAUACUGGCUACCCAGCAGGUGAUGAUCAGAAUGCCAUGCACUUCUAUCUUGUCGCCUAUGCUGCAACUGCGGUGGGCGUCCCAGCAACUGAUGCUGUCAACAUGGACGGCAAUGCUGGAUCUCCUGCCGGCGCCGGGCAGGCCGAAUCGAUAGGCCGCAUCACACUUGCAUCAGAUGCUCCUCCCGUCGCUGCAAUCGACUCUCCGAAGUGA
RNAcentral lists this ribosomal RNA (1284 nucleotides) under Triticum aestivum (bread wheat). Its description in RNAcentral is "partial small subunit ribosomal RNA". Lineage: Eukaryota; Viridiplantae; Streptophyta; Magnoliopsida; Poales; Poaceae. The record is from RNAcentral.